Molecule: ribosomal RNA, 253 nt
Filed under: uncultured bacterium
Lineage: Bacteria
Description: partial 16S ribosomal RNA
Rfam family: Bacterial small subunit ribosomal RNA
Source: RNAcentral
UACGGGGGGGGCAAGCGUUGUUCGGAAUUACUGGGCGUAAAGGGCUCGUAGGCGGCCAACUAAGUCAGACGUGAAAUCCCUCGGCUUAACCGGGGAACUGCGUCUGAUACUGGAUGGCUUGAGUUUGGGAGAGGGAUGCGGAAUUCCAGGUGUAGCGGUGAAAUGCGUAGAUAUCUGGAGGAACACCGGUGGCGAAGGCGGCAUCCUGGGCCAGCACUGACGCUGAGGAGCGAAAGCCUGGGGAGCAAACGGG